UAUUAUUGCAUCCAAAGAUCAACUGAACCUAGAACAUAGAUACAGAGACACUUGUCAUCAGGAAGGUGAUCUCUCAGCACAACGGAAAAUAUCCCAAUGACUUGACAUGUUCUGGUUGUGAAUUCAGGCUACAAGGGGUCAGUUCUCUAAAAUGAGUCUCUCAGGAGCGAGAAAGAAGGGGGGCCCUGUCUCUAAAAUGAGUCUCUCUGGGGAACAUGACACCAAAGUUAAGAGUCCAAUCAAGCAGGAGAGACCAGCCUCUCCUGUACCCAGCUGUGUGUCCAUGAAGAGUGACCGGUCUAUGAUGGAACCUAUAGAGUUUAGAGAGGGAGACUUUUCUACUGAACAAAGGUAAGAAGAACUCAUGGGUCAUGGUCAGUGAGUUAAACAACACUGUCUCUAGUCAUUUCUCCUCUCCCAUUUUCCCAUUUAUUGUUGUUGUUUUCAUAAUCCAUAGGCUCAUCAUUUUGUCCAUUUUCAUAGUCUUAAAACAAACACAACAUUCCCUCCCUAAGUGUGUGUGUGUGUGUGUGUGUGUCUGAACUCCCUGGAUGAGGAGAUGUAAUCUCUAUCCCUAUUGCCUAGUCACUUAUACCCCUACCUACAUGUGGCUAUUACCUCAAUUACCUAAACUACCUGGUACCCUGCACAUUGACUCAGUACUGGUACUCCUUAUAGUCUCAUUAUUACCUCAACUACCUGGUACCCUGCACAUUGACUCAGUACUGGUACUCCUUAUAGCCUCAUUAUUACCUCAACUACCUGGUACCCUGCAUAUUGACUCAGUACUGGUACUCCUUAUAGUCUCAUUAUUACCUCAACUACCUGGUACAUUUACAUUUUACAUUUAAGUCAUUUAGCAGACGCUCUUAUCCAGAGCGACUUACAAAUUGGUGCAUUCACCUUAUGACCUCCAGUGGAACAGUAGUGCAUCUAAAU
Long non-coding RNA from Oncorhynchus nerka (sockeye salmon), 939 nucleotides. RefSeq lists it as uncharacterized. Lineage: Eukaryota; Metazoa; Chordata; Actinopteri; Salmoniformes; Salmonidae. The transcript has 3 exons. The record is from RefSeq and is a predicted model, not a curated record.